UUAAUAUUUUAUUUUUUAUUAUUUUUAUUUUUUUUUAGUUUUGUUUGUUCUUUUUUAGUUUGUAUAAUAAAUAAUUAUCAAUUUUGUUACUGUUAAGGUUUUAUAUUUAAUAUGUUGCUAUUAUUGAUUUAGUACCUUUUGUAUCAGGGUUAAUUUAUUAUUAAAUUUAUAUUUAUUAUCCCGAAUUAAAGAGAUUUAAUUGUGUAUAUAUUCUAUGAGUGUCAUGUUUUAAGUUAAUUCAUUUUUGGUAAUUAUAAGUUAUUCGUUCUUUAAAGAUAUCUGGUUUUGUUUGAUUUAAAUUUAAUUUAAUUCUAUAAUUUAGAUUUAUAUAAUGGGGGAUAAUCUCUAUUUUUUGUUAUAAUUUAUUUUAUUAUUAUUUUUAUUAACAUUGGUAUCUUUGUAUUAAGUUCGUAAUUGAUUUAAUUUUUUAUUUAUGAUUUUUUUAUAUUUAUCUUUUUAUUACAAUUAUUUAAUUAAUUUUUGUUUAUUUUUAUUAAUGAUUAAAUUAGUAUAAUUUAUAUAUAAAUAUUUAUGAAUUCAACAAUUUUUAAUUUCCAACUGUUUAUCAAAAACAUUUCUUUAAGGUUUUAUUUAAAGUAGUUUCUGCCCUAUGAUUUAAAUAAUUUAAAUGGCUGCAGUAUCUUGACUGUACAAAGGUAGCAUAGUAAUUAGUUUCUUAAUUAGGGACUUGAAUGAAUGAAUUAAUGAGAAAUUUAUUUUAUUAUAAUUAUUUUUUUAAUUUAAUUUUUAAGUUAAAAUGCUUAAUUAUAUGUUUGGGACGAUAAGACCCUAUAGAACUUUAAAGUUUUAUUUAUUUUUUUUAUUUUAGAUUUAUUUUUAAUUAAUAUAUUAAACUUUUUUGCUGGGGUGGUGAAUAAAUAUUAACUUUAUUUUUUUAUUUCAUUAAUUUAUGAUUAUUAUGAUCCAUUAUUUAUGAUUAUAAGAUUAAGUUACCUUAGGGAUAACAGCGUAAUUUUAAUGGGGAGUUCAUAUUUAUAUUAAAGUUUGCGACCUCGAUGUUGAAUUAAGAUUAAAUUAGGGGGUAGGUUCUUUAAAUUUAGGUCUGUUCGACCUUUAAAUUCUUACAUGAUUUGAGUUCAAACCGGUGUAAGCCAGGUUGGUUUCUAUCUAAUUAUAAGUUUAAUUUAUUUAGUACGAAAGGACCAAUGAGUUCUAUGAUUAAUAGUUUUA
Molecule: ribosomal RNA, 1191 nt
Filed under: Idiocerini gen. 'Neoamritatus' sp.
Lineage: Eukaryota; Metazoa; Arthropoda; Insecta; Hemiptera; Cicadellidae
Description: 16S ribosomal RNA
Source: RNAcentral